RNAcentral lists this transfer RNA (74 nucleotides) under Cyanophage S-RIM50. It matches the Rfam family "tRNA". Rfam says of the family: Transfer RNA (tRNA) molecules are approximately 80 nucleotides in length. The record is from Rfam by way of RNAcentral. Lineage: Duplodnaviria; Heunggongvirae; Uroviricota; Caudoviricetes; Pantevenvirales; Kyanoviridae.
GCGGAUGUAGUUCAGUCAGGUAGAACGCUAUCCUUCCAAGUUAGAUGUCGUCGGUUCGAUUCCGAUCAUCCGCU